RNAcentral lists this ribosomal RNA (451 nucleotides) under uncultured bacterium. Its description in RNAcentral is "partial 16S ribosomal RNA". It matches the Rfam family "Bacterial small subunit ribosomal RNA", at positions 29 to 523 of the family's 1533-position model. The record is from RNAcentral.
AACGAACGCUGGCGGCAGGCUUAACACAUGCAAGUCGAACGCUCAUAGCAAUAUGGGAGUGGCGCACGGGUGAGUAACGCGUGGGAACGUGCCUUUCAGUUUGGAAUAACACCGGGAAACUGGUGCUAAUGCCAAAUAUUCCCUCCGGGGGAAAGAUUUAUCGCUGAAAGAUCGGCCCGCGUAAGAUUAGGUAGGUGGUGGGGUAAUGGCCUACCAAGCCUACGAUCUUUAGCUGGUCUGAGAGGAUGAUCAGCCACACUGGAACUGAGACACGGUCCAGACGCCUACGGGAGGCAGCAGUGGGGAAUAUUGGACAAUGGGCGAAAGCCUGAUCCAGCCAUGCCGCGUGAGUGAUGAAGGCCUUAGGGUUGUAAAGCUCUUUUGUCAGGGAAGAUAAUGACGGUACCUGAAGAAUAAGCACCGGCUAACUUCGUGCCAGCCGCCGCUGUAA